UGCUGACGAGUGGCGGACGGGUGAGUAAUGUCUGGGAAACUGCCUGAUGGAGGGGGAUAACUACUGGAAACGGUAGCUAAUACCGCAUAACGUCGCAAGACCAAAGAGGGGGACCUUCGGGCCUCUUGCCAUCGGAUGUGCCCAGAUGGGAUUAGCUAGUAGGUGGGGUAACGGCUCACCUAGGCGACGAUCCCUAGCUGGUCUGAGAGGAUGACCAGCCACACUGGAACUGAGACACGGUCCAGACUCCUACGGGAGGCAGCAGUGGGGAAUAUUGCACAAUGGGCGCAAGCCUGAUGCAGCCAUGCCGCGUGUAUGAAGAAGGCCUUCGGGUUGUAAAGUACUUUCAGCGGGGAGGAAGGGAGUAAAGUUAAUACCUUUGCUCAUUGACGUUACCCGCAGAAGAAGCACCGGCUAACUCCGUGCCAGCAGCCGCGGUAAUACGGAGGGUGCAAGCGUAAUCGGAAUUACUGGGCGUAAAGCGCACGCAG
This 491-nucleotide ribosomal RNA is filed under the name Escherichia coli. Its description in RNAcentral is "bacterial SSU rRNA". It matches the Rfam family "Bacterial small subunit ribosomal RNA", at positions 86 to 574 of the family's 1533-position model. The record is from RNAcentral. Lineage: Bacteria; Pseudomonadati; Pseudomonadota; Gammaproteobacteria; Enterobacterales; Enterobacteriaceae.